Long non-coding RNA from Zonotrichia leucophrys gambelii, 629 nucleotides. RefSeq lists it as uncharacterized. Lineage: Eukaryota; Metazoa; Chordata; Aves; Passeriformes; Passerellidae. The transcript has 4 exons. The record is from RefSeq and is a predicted model, not a curated record.
GGUAGCUGGGAUAAAAGAGGGUGGGUUGGGCAGCCAGGGAGAGCCUUGGAGGAUCCCUGAUGAAGCAGGAAUAACACUACUGUGAAGAGUUGCAUAUGAAAAAACCACCCAGAAGAGAAAAUAUGGAGACUGACAAACACGGUGAAGAAAAGCUGUACUGAGCCCUGAUCCUGAGCAGGAAAAAGCAUGCAACAUAUUUCUGAAACAAAGUGGUUCUGCUGGAUUAAGACAUACUGCUAGAAAAUAAGAGCUGUCUCCAAGUCCGACCAGGAUUAUCAAAAAUAUCAUAGCCUUGGCAAUGGACUCACAUAACUUCAAUCAGUUCAACUGAUUAAGGAAGAGAAGGCCAACCAGGUUUUAAUAGUUUAAAAAAUCCCCUGUAAAUCUUUAAACUUGAAUUCUGAUAAAGAUUUAGAGUUUGCCAGACUCAUUAAAGGCUGAAACAUGCACCAUUCCUUUUAUAAUCUACAAGGACCUGAAAAUAUGUUUGUAAAUGUCCAGAUAAAUGAAAUGUAGUUUUUGUAAUGAAAAUAAAUAAACAAGGGAAAGCAGGAAAUGGGUUGAAAUUGUCUUGUUUGGAGAUCCAUGAUCAAACUGUUAAAGCUGUACUAAGGCCUCUUAAGAAUGGA